Long non-coding RNA from Megalobrama amblycephala (Wuchang bream), 1418 nucleotides. RefSeq lists it as uncharacterized. The transcript is spliced from 4 exons. NCBI's taxonomy places the organism in Eukaryota, Metazoa, Chordata, Actinopteri, Cypriniformes, Xenocyprididae. The record is from RefSeq and is a predicted model, not a curated record.
UCUGUCUGCUUGAGCUCUACAGCACAUUCACACUAACAUUGCCUGUUCAUAUUGUUUAAAAAUGAUGAAUUACCUGGAGUCUUUGUGUGUCCUUAGGAAGUUAAGAGCUGAAAUAUUCUGGUAAAGUCUUCAACUGAAGUCUGAAGCUCACUGGACUUCUGUAGCGAUAUUUAUACUCAGAAGAGUCCCUUUGCCCUCAUGGACCCAGACUCUGCUGGCCACCGAGAUUAGAUAUUCACAUCACAGCAUUGCAGCAUUGUGAGCUUACUGUCAUUCAUAUGUGGCUAAGACAAAAAAAAAAAAAAAAAAAGAUGAAGAAGAAAAAGAAAAAGAAAAAAAGAUUUGUGGUUUGAGACUGCAUACACCUGGACUUCUUUGUGGCAAAGAAGUGAAAGAAAGCAACAACAAUCUCCACAGGUUUCUGUCCUCCACAAGCCUGCCCCAACAGUGGCAUAGCCAAGAGGCAGAAAAAUAACACCGCUGCCAGUAGAAGCUGUUGUGGUGGUGAAGACGAAGACAUACCGAAAACGGAAACCCGUCUUCUGUCACUACAGAAAUGACAGGACUUUUAUUUUGGAGUGACGACAUGACGUCAUAAGACUGCGCCGAGCUCCUACAUCUGCUGUGACUCUGCUGAAUAAAGAUGGAGUUUAUUAAAGAGGAAACUGAAGAAAAUAAGAUUAAAGAAGAGUCUGAAGACAUGAAGAUUGAAGAAACAUUCAGAGUGAAACAUGAAGAAACUGAGGAACAAACAGGUUGGUUUUAUUCUCACAGCUGAACUCAGUCAUUUGAUCAUUAUUAAAAUGUCCAGCUCUACAGAAAUAGACAAUAUUUUGAGCAACAUUAAACCCAAUAUCUACUUAUGGAUAGAGAACUGUUCAUGCUCAAAAGUGCUGUAUCAACAUUUAAACAUACCUGAACAUAAAUAGCAGUAAUUGAACAUUAAAUCAAGCAAUAAAUAAGUCCUAAUUUAAAUAUUUUACAUCAAUAAUCAUUUCAUGUGUGUGUCAUAUGGAGGAAAGUCAGCAGGGGAAGUGUGUAAAACAUUUUGAAGUAGAACCGAGUGAACUGCUAAUAUUUGAUGAAACCAGUGAAAAAUAUUUACCUUGUCAUUUGUGGUUCAUGUGCAGGUUAGAAAUCAAUGAGCAGAUUGAGACUAGAGGUGAAAUGAUGUGAAAAUUACAUACCGUGAUUAUUGUGACAAAAUUAUCAUGGUUAUCAAUUACAUGUUUUUGUUAAAGUUCUGAUAUAAACUGAAAUAAGUUCAAAAACAUGUUCAGUCCAAAUUCAAAUCCAAAGUUUUUGACGUCCACACUGUGUAUCACAGCUGUUCAGAUCCGAUUUGUGCGUUCAUGCCACUCUUUCAUUUUCUGGAAUAUCUGCAUUGGUUUCAUUGCAUUGCAUUGGUAGGCAUAAGC